This 307-nucleotide long non-coding RNA is filed under the name Dromaius novaehollandiae (emu). RNAcentral describes it as "lncRNA (ENSDNVG00000002770.1)". Lineage: Eukaryota; Metazoa; Chordata; Aves; Casuariiformes; Dromaiidae. The record is from RNAcentral.
UCAGAGAUCCAGAUGUGAAUGCAAAAAAGCCAACCAAAGGCUCCAGCCGUAGGACACUCGGACCCAAACAGCCGGUUUUGUUUGUAACUGCCUCCGUUACUGCUUUUGAAAGAGCACCCUUUUUCCUGCUUGGUACAGAAAAAGCACRGCACAUCUCUGCAAGAAAUCAAAGGUGUUGUGGCUGAGCAUCAGGGGAGCCACGGGACACCACGGGAAGACCAUGUCCAGCGUGGCAGGGAAAGGCAGACCGUCUAGAGGGAGAGACGGGGAGCCCCUUCGUGCCAGGUACCACCUGUAAAGGGGGGCA